RNAcentral lists this ribosomal RNA (382 nucleotides) under Conus ventricosus. RNAcentral describes it as "partial 12S ribosomal RNA". It matches the Rfam family "Microsporidia small subunit ribosomal RNA", at positions 780 to 1304 of the family's 1311-position model. Lineage: Eukaryota; Metazoa; Mollusca; Gastropoda; Neogastropoda; Conidae. The record is from RNAcentral.
GAGCUUGGCGGUGUUUUAGACCUCUCAGGGGAACCUGUCUCAUAAUCGACAAUCCACGUUAAACCUAACCUUUGAUAGUAAUUCAGCCUGUAUACCGUCGUCGUCAGGUAACUUCUCAAAAUAUAGUAGUUAGCUUGAGAAUUAUAUUAAUUAAAACGUCAGAUCAAGGUGCAGCUAAUGAAAAGGUGAGGAUGGGUUACAAUUACAUAUUUGUAAACACGGAAAACAUUUGAAAAAAUGUCUUAAAGGAGGACUUGAAAGUAAUUUUGAUUAUAUAAGCAGAAUGAAUAGGGCUCUGAAACGUGCACACAUCGCCCGUCGCUCUCGUUGAAAAAUGAGAUAAGUCGUAACAUAGUAGGGGUAAUGGAAAUUGUUCCUAGGC